This 264-nucleotide ribosomal RNA is filed under the name uncultured bacterium. RNAcentral describes it as "partial 16S ribosomal RNA". It matches the Rfam family "Bacterial small subunit ribosomal RNA", at positions 1237 to 1500 of the family's 1533-position model. The record is from RNAcentral.
UUACAGAGAGAAGCGAUACCGCGAGGAGGAGCAAAUCUGAAAAAAGCGUCCCUAGUUCGGAUUGUAGGCUGAAACUCGCCUACAUGAAGCUGGAAUUGCUAGUAAUCGCGAAUCAGAAUGUCGCGGUGAAUACGUUCCCGGGCCUUGUACACACCGCCCGUCACACCAUGAGAGUCGAUAACACCCGAAGUCCGUAGCCUAACCGCAAGGGGGGCGCGGCCGAAGGUGGGUUCGAUAAUUGGGGUGAAGUCGUAACAAGGUAGC